UACGUAGGGUGCAAGCGUUGUCCGGAAUUAUUGGGCGUAAAGAGCUCGUAGGCGGUCUGUUACGUCGGCUGUGAAAACCUGGGGCUCAACCCCGGGCCUGCAGCCGAUACGGGCAGACUAGAGUUCGGUAGGGGAGACUGGAAUUCCUGGUGUAGCGGUGAAAUGCGCAGAUAUCAGGAGGAACACCGGUGGCGAAGGCGGGUCUCUGGGCCGAUACUGACGCUGAGGAGCGAAAGCGUGGGGAGCGAACAGG
This 253-nucleotide ribosomal RNA is filed under the name uncultured bacterium. RNAcentral describes it as "partial 16S ribosomal RNA". It matches the Rfam family "Bacterial small subunit ribosomal RNA", at positions 524 to 776 of the family's 1533-position model. The record is from RNAcentral.